CAGAGUUUCUCUGUGGUCAAACCACCCUGCCAGCCUCCCUGCUGCAGCCGGCAGCACGUCACUCCAUGCGGGAGGGGAGCCCCACCUAAGGUGAGGCACCUGCUCCCCCUUUGCCUCCUGCCAUGAGUGGAAGCUUCCCAAGUCCUCACCAGAUGCAAAUGUUGGUGCCAUGCUUCCUGUACAGCCUGCAGAACUGUGAGCCAAAGAAACCGCUUUUCUUUAUAAAUUACCCAGUUUCAGGGUACCGAGUGAGACCCAGCUGACCUGGAAAAUGACAGGGACACUUUUUAUCCUUCCAACUUAACCUUUCCGUCCUGACUUAACCUUUCCCUCUUUGACACAAAUGAAGAAAUUAGGGCUCUUGACUGCUACUGAUUUAAGGGGAUUACAGAGGCACUGCCAGCGAGCAUGAGCACAAGAGUUUAGCGCCUCUCGGCAGCUGAGAGAGGAUGCUGCAUACUUGGGGCCUGGGACCUCCGAGAAGACCUUCUUCAGCCGAAAGCACACCUUAUUCUUGUCCCAGUUGAAGGCUUCCCAACGGUCUUCAUGUGGCACUUGCUGUGUGCCAGGCCCCACUCUGGGCACUUGGUUUAUUUAAUUCUAACCAUGGUCCUAGGUGAUGGGCGCUGGUAUGACUGUGGGAAAGGGACAAGGUGGGAGAUGUGAACGAACUUCCGGAGCCCUCCCUCGGGCAGCCUAGCUCCCCGCCUCCUCCAACACCUUCUGUUGCUUUUCCAGCACAGCCAGUACUGGGCUCUUGGGUUCGAGCACGGGGCGGGGUGAAGGGUGCUGGGAGGUCACAUUCUUGCUUCCCAGCACUGAAGACUGGAAGAAUGAAUGGCACAGAUGAACAAGGCCGUCCUGCAUCCGCCGCUCACUAGAGGCUUCACAGCUGCGUAGGGACACAGGACAUCUGUACAAUAAAUACCAAUGGUAUUAGUGCCCUAGGGCUGCAGGAACAAAGCACCACAGACUGGGGGUGCUGGAACAGCAGAAACUCAGGCUCUCCCAUUUCUGGAUGCCGGAAGUCCAAAAUCUAGUGUCGGCAGGGCUGUGUCCUCUCUGAGGUUUCCAGGGGAGGAGGCUUCCUUGCUUCUCUGGCUUCUGGUGGUGGCUGGCAAUGCUCGGCAUUCCUUGGCUUAUGGACGCAGCACUGAAAUUGCAGCCCUUAUCUUCAUGUGGCCUUCCUUGUGGCGCUCUGUGUCCAAAUGUCCCUCUCCUCUAAGGACACCAGUCAUCGGAUUAGGCCAGCUCUAAUCCGGUGUGCCUCAUCUUGAUUUAACUAACUACAUCUGCAAAGACACUAUUUCCAGAUUACGUCACGUUCCGAGGUUCCUGGUGGACGUGAAUUUUUGGAAGACGCUGUCCAACCUGGGACACCAGCCAGCCCCUCUCUGGCUCCCUCAGUCCCUCCACCCUUCGGAAGUGGUAAAUGGUGGCUUGCUAACAGCGCCUGUAGCAGCCACCUCCUGGUGAUGGCAAAGGAAGGGCCCUCUCAGUCAUAGGGGCCAAUGGCGAGGAGGACCUGGGACGUGGUGCACUGAGCAUUUUCCCUUCUCAGCAGCUCACUCCUUUGUGUGUCUGUGAUGCGAAGGCUGUGACAUCAGUCAGCCUCAUGGAGAACUGGAACAACGGGCUCUGUGUCUUUGGAGAACGCGUCAAGACCAGGGCCUCUUCCCCUGCUCCCAUGGUUCCCAGCGUUCUUGUCUCCUGAGAGAGGAUGUAGUGGGUGUCAUGUUCAGCAUCGCAACUGGCCUCCGUGGAAACCAGGGUGGAGCUCAGACGGGUGUGGGGGGAGCAUGUGACUGAGCUCCUUCCCACUCUCUCUCCGGCACACACGGAGUCAGUGUAGGGAGGUGAUGGGUAGACUCAGCCUGUGGGAUUCUGGCCUGGCUUCCCGGCAGCAAGCAGGAGCUUCAGAUGCUCAUUCCCGCCGCGGUCGGCUGUGGCGGCGACUCAUACCCGUUUCCGCUCGAAUGAUGCCAGCUGUCCUGCUGCGCCACCUUCCUCUGUCCUCGCAUCCGCUGAUGGGAUUUCCGGUCGCUUCCACUUUGUGGCUCUUUUGAAGAAUGCCGCUAGGAACAUUCACACGCAGGUUUUUGGUGUGGACGUAUGUUUGUAUUUCUCCUGGGCACACCCGGGAUGGAGCUGCUGGGUGGCAUGGAAUUCCACCU
Molecule: long non-coding RNA, 2174 nt
Filed under: Homo sapiens (human)
Lineage: Eukaryota; Metazoa; Chordata; Mammalia; Primates; Hominidae
Description: HSALNT0084009
Source: RNAcentral